RNAcentral lists this long non-coding RNA (720 nucleotides) under Meriones unguiculatus (Mongolian gerbil). RNAcentral describes it as "lncRNA (ENSMUGG00000007290.1)". Lineage: Eukaryota; Metazoa; Chordata; Mammalia; Rodentia; Muridae. The record is from RNAcentral.
CCCGGGUGGAGGCGCCCGGACUGGGGCGGCCGCGGGACGGCCGCGCUCGGGCGUCUGAGCCGGAGGGACCCGGGCGGGACGCACGUGCGCGCCGAGCUCCGCUCGCGGGUUGCGGCGGGGGAGAAGCCGCUGUCCAGCCCGGAGGUUGACGGUGCCGUGCAUCCCCGCGGACGCCUGGGUGCGCGCCGGGCGCUGCGGUGUGAGCGUAGGCUGGCGGGAACGGAUCCGGAGAUCCUUGGGGUCUCCACAGACUUUGGAGGGUAGAAAAUUAUGGUCUGAGGAGGAGCACAGAACCGGGAAGGCUGUCAUCAAAAGUUGUAGCACUUUCUCCACCAGAAGCUGCACCCCAAGUCAGGCGGGCGCCAUCAUGCCUCAGCAGCUCCUGAUCACCGUGUCCCCUGAGGUGAAGUUGAAGCAACCCAGGAAGACCAAGAAGGGGGCAUCCCUGUGGGACAAUGUGACGAAAACGUUUGAAGGAGGAGGUAAAAAGAUGAGUGAUUACCUCUCCUUGUUGGUGCUGGUGUUUGGUCAGUGUCUCAGCUGUAGCCCAGCCUGGCCUGUGACGUGCUGUGUAGCAGAGGCUGGUCUAACUCUUUAUCCUCCUGCUUCCACCUCCCGAGUGCAGGGAUUGGAGGUGUGUGCCACCAUGCCUGGCGAGUAAUUGAUCUUGAAUGCUUAUUAUUAAUUGCUGAGGGAGACACAUAGAGAUAAAAAUAGCAG